AUUGAACGCUGGCGGUAUGCAUAACACAUGCAAGUCGAACGGUAGCAGGUCUAGCUUGCUAGAUGCUGACGAGUGGCGGACGGGUGAGUAACGCGUAGGAAUCUGCCUUAUAGUGGGGGAUAACCUGGGGGAAACUCAGGCUAAUACCGCAUAAGCCCGAGGGUGAAAGUGUGGGACCUGAAAAGGCCACAUGCUAUAAGAUGAGCCUGCGUAGGAUUAGCUAGUUGGUGGGGUAAAGGCUUACCAAGGCAAAGAUCCUUAACUGGUCUGAGAGGACGACCAGUCACACUGGGACUGAGACACGGCCCAGACUCCUACGGGAGGCAGCAGU
Molecule: ribosomal RNA, 331 nt
Filed under: uncultured bacterium
Lineage: Bacteria
Description: bacterial SSU rRNA
Rfam family: Bacterial small subunit ribosomal RNA
Source: RNAcentral